Molecule: long non-coding RNA, 1843 nt
Organism: Quercus lobata
Lineage: Eukaryota; Viridiplantae; Streptophyta; Magnoliopsida; Fagales; Fagaceae
Exons: 2
Source: RefSeq, a predicted model, not a curated record
UGAACGUCAUAGUUGAAAUUAAACUUCCGCGUAUUAUAAAAGAAAGAAUUUAUUACAAAUUACAAAAGGUUGGUAUUUUUUUAUUUUUAGAAUCAAAAGUUAGGUCUAUUAUAGAAGAAGAAUGAAAACGUAUUUACUUUCGUGGUUAUAUAUGGUCAACAUGCUUAAAUAUCCACUACAUUGCUUUUUAACUUUUUUUGAUUGAGAACCAUUACUAAUUAAAUUGAAAAAGGUGACCCUACAUUAAUGUUUGUGAACAUUGAUAUACCCGUCACUCUAGUUUUUUAGUUCCCAACUUCUAGGGACCUUUGAAAAGUAGUUAAAUACUUCAUAGCUAGUGGACUGGACAAUCUCCUUUAGAUUCUAGGCUUUUCUAGCCUAUACUUUUUGCAGUCUGGAUACUCAAUUAUCAAUGAAUUCAAAUUUGGCGGUAUCUGUGCUCAUGCUUCAUACUUGUUUUUUUUUGAGGAGCAAUGUUAAAGGAGGUAUAAAAAUACAUAAUUUUGUAUUACAAUUCAUAGGAAGAGUUAUAAGUAGUGGAAGUAUGUCACUAUAUGGCCUACCAUCAUAUAUUCAUCAAUCAAAACUCAUUACAUAAAAAGUUACGGCACAAAAUUGUGUAUCUUUAUAUAUCUAUACCAUUACUCUUUGUUUGAGAGAUAUUGUUAUUUUAGGAGAACUUUUUGGUAAAGCAAUGGUGAUAAAGCUUGUUGCCCUUGCCAAACCCAAAAGUCAUAAACGGACAUAGGCCAAAAUUAAUUAUUGUACAUUGAUUCAAGCUAGAAAUACACAUCUCAGCAGCAGCAACAACAACAAAAAAAAAAAAAAAGAAAAAGAAAAAGAAAGCAGCUAGAAAUACGCACAUCGAGGGGACCAAUAUCUUUACUUCUGUACGAGCACUGAUCAAUUCUUUAGUAUUCUUUUUGGCCCAUUAGAUCGAGUUGUGAGUUCAAACCAUCUUUGUUUAUGUUUCAAAAUUCAUGGUAUUACGUGUAAUUUAUCAAUUUUAAAAAAUAUUGGUCAUAGGAUACCACAUGUUAGUUUGCAUUUGGAUGAGCUAUUUAGAUUACUUAUUUAGUUGAAAGUUUGUUUAUACGUUCAGAAUAUGAAAUUCUAAGAAAUUGUACAUAAAUAGAUUAAGCUAAAAAAUUUUAGAAUGUGAUCAACCAUAUAUACCUAGAAUAUUAAAGACUAGCCCGUGGUAAGGUGGAACUUACAACGAAUGUGAGGUAUGAGCAGAAGGGACUUUUCAUUUGACAAGGAUUUGCAUGGAAACAUCACAACUUUUGGUCCUUUUAUAUGUUUCAUGGACCAGACUCAGAAAUCAUCACCAAGAAAGUCAAAACAAAUUAAGACCCAAUCAGAACAAGGGUUCCACAUGGCCAAAAUCAGAGUUAAGACUUAAAGAAGGCAAUAAUUGAAGAAACCAGACUUUCAUUGGUCCAUCAUGUUCUUCUCUUGCUCCAUCUUCAUCUUCACUCUUGCCCCAGCACAAGCUCUCAAUUUGACUUCAUACCAUUUACUUUAGUAUAUCUUAACAUCGAUUACACCAAAUCUCCCGGUAAGUUAAUCUACCCACACCCCCAUUCUUCGGUCACAUGAUCGGUCUUGAAGACAAGAGCUGCGAAGUCCCUUAACGUGUGUUUGGCUUCAAUAUUUCUUCUUUUUUUCGUCUCCUCCGCGUCUAUUUUGUUUCACGAGAGGGAGAAGAAAGAAGAAGAAGAAAGAGAAGAAAAAGAAAAAAAAGUUGUUUGAUAAUUGAUACAUCUAACUUUAAAUAUCUUUUCUCCCAACUAUUGAGUCAUCAAAAAAAAAAAAAAAAAAAAAAAAAAAAAAAAAAAAU